This 252-nucleotide ribosomal RNA is filed under the name uncultured prokaryote. RNAcentral describes it as "partial 16S rRNA". It matches the Rfam family "Archaeal small subunit ribosomal RNA", at positions 475 to 726 of the family's 1478-position model. The record is from RNAcentral.
ACCGGCAGCUCAAGUGGUGGCCAUUUUUAUUGGGCCUAAAGCGUUCGUAGCCGGUUUGAUAAGUCUCUGGUGAAAUCCCGCAGCUUAACUGUGGGACUUGCUGGAGAUACUAUUAGACUUGAGGUCGGGAGAGGUUAGGGGUACUCCCAGGGUAGGGGUGAAAUCGUAUAAUCCUGGGGGGACCGCCUGAGGCUAAGGCGACUAACUGGAACGAGCCUGACUGUUAGUAACGAAACCUAGGGGCGCGAGCGG